AGAGUUUGAUCCUGGCUCAGGACGAACGCUGGCGGCGUGCUUAACACAUGCAAGUCGAACGGAAAGGCCCCUUCGGGGUACUCGAGUGGCGAACGGGUGAGUAACACGUGGGUGAUCUGCCCUGCACUUUGGGAUAAGCCUGGGAAACUGGGUCUAAUACCGAAUAGGACCGCAUGCUUCAUGGUGUGUGGUGGAAAGCUUUUGCGGUGUGGGAUGGGCCCGCGGCCUAUCAGCUUGUUGGUGGGGUAAUGGCCUACCAAGGCGACGACGGGUAGCCGGCCUGAGAGGGUGUCCGGCCACACUGGGACUGAGAUACGGCCCAGACUCCUACGGGAGGCAGCAGUGGGGAAUAUUGCACAAUGGGCGCAAGCCUGAUGCAGCGACGCCGCGUGGGGGAUGACGGCCUUCGGGUUGUAAACCUCUUUCAGUAUCGGCGAAGCUCCAGGAUUUUUCUUGGGGUGACGGUAGGCACAGAAGAAGCACCGGCCAACUACGUGCCAGCAGCCGCGGUAAUACGUAGGGUGCGAGCGUUGUCCGGAAUUACUGGGCGUAAAGAGCUCGUAGGUGGUUUGUCACGUUGUCUGUGAAAACUCACAGCUUAACUGUGGGCGUGCGGGCGAUACGGGCAGACUGGAGUACUGUAGGGGAGACUGGAAUUCCUGGUGUAGCGGUGGAAUGCGCAGAUAUCAGGAGGAACACCGGUGGCGAAGGCGGGUCUCCGGGCAGUAACUGACGCUGAGGAGCGAAAGCGUGGGGAGCGAACAGGAUUAGAUACCCUGGUAGUCCAA
This 788-nucleotide ribosomal RNA is filed under the name uncultured bacterium. RNAcentral describes it as "bacterial SSU rRNA". It matches the Rfam family "Bacterial small subunit ribosomal RNA", at positions 8 to 798 of the family's 1533-position model. The record is from RNAcentral.